RNAcentral lists this ribosomal RNA (747 nucleotides) under Triticum aestivum (bread wheat). Its description in RNAcentral is "partial small subunit ribosomal RNA". Lineage: Eukaryota; Viridiplantae; Streptophyta; Magnoliopsida; Poales; Poaceae. The record is from RNAcentral.
AUGGAUUUCUGUCUUCCCGAGCUUGACAGCCUUAGCUCCCACCUGUUCGCCUGGCAUUGGCUCCCUUCUAGUGGGAACAAUGGCCACUUGGGUGGCAUCCUCUUAGGUGUUAAGGAUGCCACCUUUGAGGUGGGAGGUAUGGAUCGGGGCGAGUUCUUCGUUAGUAUGGAGAUCUUCGAGCGUGCGCUCAAAUUUAAAUGGGAGGUCAUCAUCGUCUACGGACCGGCAGACCACAGCCGCUCCCCGACCUUCCUCGCCGAGCUGCAGCAGAAGAUCUCCGCUUCCCCACUCCCUGUUGUGGUGGGAGGUGACUUUAACCUCAUCCGCUCCCCGAAUGAGAAGAACAAUGACCGGGUUAAUCGCCCCCGGAUGCAGAUGUUUAACGAAUGCAUCGCGGAGCUGGGCCUCCGUGAGCUCGAGCGCACGGGGGCCCGGUUCACCUGGACUAACCGCCAGGCGAACCCAACGCAGUCUGUCCUUGACCGCGCCUUAGUUUCCCCGGAAUGGGAGCUCAGAUGCCCCCUGACCUCGGUUCAGGCUAUUACCAGGAUCGGCUCUGAUCAUGUUCCUCUUCUCCUCUCCUCUGCUGAUGAACGCCCCCCAUCCCCCCUCGGUUCCGGUUUGAGCUCUUCUGGCUCAACCAGGCCGGGUUCCGCGAGGCUGUUGCGGCUAAGUGGACCGCCGCGUGCAAUUCCCCUCACCGCGCCAUGUCCGCGGUGGACUCCUGGCAGUUCUACGCCAAGCUAG